UCCGUAGGUGAACCUGCGGAAGGAUCAUUAUUGAAUGAACUUGGUGUGGUUGUUGCUGGCUCUCUUGUGGGGGCAUGUGCACACCCGCCAUCCUCAUCUCUCCACCUGUGCACCUCUUGUAGACCUGGAUGAAUUUUCCGAGGUAACUCGGUCGGGAGGAAUGCUGCGCUCUUUGCGUCGGCUUUCUUUGCACUUCCAAGCCUACGUUUUUUUCAUAUACCCGUAGUAUGUAACAGAAUGUAUCAUUGGGCCUAAGUGCCUAUAAACCUUAUACAACUUUCAGCAACGGAUCUCUUGGCUCUCGCAUCGAUGAAGAACGCAGCGAAAUGCGAUAAGUAAUGUGAAUUGCAGAAUUCAGUGAAUCAUCGAAUCUUUGAACGCACCUUGCGCUCCUUGGUAUUCCGAGGAGCAUGCCUGUUUGAGUGUCAUUUAAUUCUCAACCUUAUUAGCUUCUGCCGAUAAUGGCUUGGAUGUGGGGGUUUUCUUUUGCUGGCUUUCGUCAGCUCCCCUUAAAUGCAUUAGCUGGUGCCCCGCGUGGACUGUCCGUUCGGUGUGAUAAUUAUCUACGCCGUGGAUGUCUGCAAAUAGGGUUUGCACUGCUUC
RNAcentral lists this ribosomal RNA (603 nucleotides) under uncultured fungus. Its description in RNAcentral is "eukaryotic LSU rRNA". The stretch from base 275 to 428 matches the Rfam family "5.8S ribosomal RNA". The record is from RNAcentral. Lineage: Eukaryota; Fungi.